This 229-nucleotide ribosomal RNA is filed under the name uncultured bacterium. Its description in RNAcentral is "partial 16S ribosomal RNA". It matches the Rfam family "Bacterial small subunit ribosomal RNA", at positions 568 to 796 of the family's 1533-position model. The record is from RNAcentral.
UACGUAGGCGGAAAAUUAAGUCAGUAGUGACAUCCUGCAGCUUAACUGUAGAACUGUUAUUGAUACUGGUUUUCUUGAAUAUAGUUGAGGUAGGCGGAAUGUGUAAUGUAGCGGUGAAAUGCUUAGAUAUUACACAGAACACCGAUUGCGAAGGCAGCUUACUAAGCUAUGAUUGACGCUGAGGUACGAAAGCGUGGGGAGCGAACAGGAUUAGAUACCCUGGUAGUCC